This 229-nucleotide ribosomal RNA is filed under the name uncultured bacterium. RNAcentral describes it as "partial 16S ribosomal RNA". It matches the Rfam family "Bacterial small subunit ribosomal RNA", at positions 568 to 796 of the family's 1533-position model. The record is from RNAcentral.
UGCGCAGGCGGGCUUGUAAGUCAGUGGUGAAAUCUUGCCGCUUAACGGUAAAAUUGCCAUUGAUACUGCAAGUCUUGAAUAUGGUUGAGGUAGGCGGAAUGUGUUGUGUAGCGGUGAAAUGCAUAGAUAUGACACAGAACACCGAUUGCAAAGGCAGCUUACUAAGCCAUCAUUGACGCUGAGGCACGAAAGCGUGGGGAGCGAACAGGAUUAGAUACCCUGGUAGUCC